UUGGUGCUUGCAUCAUGAUUUACAUUUGAGUGAGUGGCGAACUGGUGAGUAACACGUGGGAAACCUGCCCAGAAGCGGGGGAUAACACCUGGAAACAGAUGCUAAUACCGCAUAACAACUUGGACCGCAUGGUCCGAGCUUGAAAGAUGGCUUCGGCUAUCACUUUUGGAUGGUCCCGCGGCGUAUUAGCUAGAUGGUGGGGUAACGGCUCACCAUGGCAAUGAUACGUAGCCGACCUGAGAGGGUAAUCGGCCACAUUGGGACUGAGACACGGCCCAAACUCCUACGGGAGGCAGCAGUAGGGAAUCUUCCACAAUGGACGAAAGUCUGAUGGAGCAACGCCGCGUGAGUGAAGAAGGGUUUCGGCUCGUAAAACUCUGUUGUUAAAGAAGAACAUAUCUGAGAGUAACUGUUCAGGUAUUGACGGUAUUUAACCAGAAAGCCACGGCUAACUACGUGCCAGCAGCCGCGGUAAUACGUAGGUGGCAAGCGUUGUCCGGAUUUAUUGGGCGUAAAGCGAGCGCAGGCGGUUUUUUAAGUCUGAUGUGAAAGCCUUCGGCUCAACCGAAGAAGUGCAUCGGAAACUGGGAAACUUGAGUGCAGAAGAGGACAGUGGAACUCCAUGUGUAGCGGUGAAAUGCGUAGAUAUAUGGAAGAACACCAGUGGCGAAGGCGGCUGUCUGGUCUGUAACUGACGCUGAGGCUCGAAAGUAUGGGUAGCAAACAGGAUUAGAUACCCUGGUAGUCCAUACCGUAAACGAUGAAUGCUAAGUGUUGGAGGGUUUCCGCCCUUCAGUGCUGCAGCUAACGCAUUAAGCAUUCCGCCUGGGGAGUACGGCCGCAAGGCUGAAACUCAAAGGAAUUGACGGGGGCCCGCACAAGCGGUGGAGCAUGUGGUUUAAUUCGAAGCUACGCGAAGAACCUUACCAGGUCUUGACAUACUAUGCAAAUCUAAGAGAUUAGACGUUCCCUUCGGGGACAUGGAUACAGGUGGUGCAUGGUUGUCGUCAGCUCGUGUCGUGAGAUGUUGGGUUAAGUCCCGCAACGAGCGCAACCCUUAUUAUCAGUUGCCAGCAUUAAGUUGGGCACUCUGGUGAGACUGCCGGUGACAAACCGGAGGAAGGUGGGGAUGACGUCAAAUCAUCAUGCCCCUUAUGACCUGGGCUACACACGUGCUACAAUGGAUGGUACAACGAGUUGCGAACUCGCGAGAGUAAGCUAAUCUCUUAAAGCCAUUCUCAGUUCGGAUUGUAGGCUGCAACUCGCCUACAUGAAGUCGGAAUCGCUAGUAAUCGCGGAUCAGCAUGCCGCGGUGAAUACGUUCCCGGGCCUUGUACACACCGCCCGUCACACCAUGAGAGUUUGUAACACCCAAAGUCGGUGGGGUAACCUUUUAGGAACCAGCCGCCUAA
Molecule: ribosomal RNA, 1412 nt
Filed under: Lactiplantibacillus plantarum subsp. plantarum
Lineage: Bacteria; Bacillati; Bacillota; Bacilli; Lactobacillales; Lactobacillaceae
Description: bacterial SSU rRNA
Rfam family: Bacterial small subunit ribosomal RNA
Source: RNAcentral